RNAcentral lists this ribosomal RNA (387 nucleotides) under uncultured bacterium. Its description in RNAcentral is "bacterial SSU rRNA". It matches the Rfam family "Bacterial small subunit ribosomal RNA", at positions 28 to 416 of the family's 1533-position model. The record is from RNAcentral.
GACGAACGCUGGCGGCGUGCUUAACACAUGCAAGUCGAGCGGUAAGGCCCUUUCGGGGGUACACGAGCGGCGAACGGGUGAGUAACACGUGGGUGACCUGCCCUUAGCUCUGGGAUAAGCCUGGGAAACUGGGUCUAAUACCGGAUAUGACUCCAUGACGCAUGUUGUGGGGUGGAAAGCCUUGUGCGGCUAGGGAUGAGCCCGCGGCCUAUCAGCUUGUUGGUGGGGUGAUGGCCACCAAGGCGACGACGGGUAGCCGGCCUGAGAGGGCGACCGGCCACACUGGGACUGAGACACGGCCCAGACUCCUACGGGAGGCAGCAGUGGGGAAUCUUGCGCAAUGGGCGAAAGCCUGACGCAGCGACGCCGCGUGAGGGAGUGACGGCC